This 492-nucleotide ribosomal RNA is filed under the name uncultured bacterium. RNAcentral describes it as "partial 16S ribosomal RNA". It matches the Rfam family "Bacterial small subunit ribosomal RNA", at positions 29 to 507 of the family's 1533-position model. The record is from RNAcentral.
AGUGAACGCUGGCGGUAGGCCUAACACAUGCAAGUCGAACGGCAGCACAGUAAGAGCUUGCUCUUACGGGUGGUGAGUGGCGGACGGGUGAGGAAUACAUCGGAAUCUACUUUUUCGUGGGGGAUAACGUAGGGAAACUUACGCUAAUACCGCAUACGACCUACGGGUGAAAGCAGGGGAUCUUCGGACCUUGCGCGAUUGAAUGAGCCGAUGUCGGAUUAGCUAGUUGGCGGGGUAAAGGCCCACCAAGGCGACGAUCCGUAGCUGGUCUGAGAGGAUGAUCAGCCACACUGGAACGGAGACACGGUCCAGACUCCUACGGGAGGCAGCAGUGGGGAAUAUUGGACAAUGGGCGCAAGCCUGAUCCAGCCAUACCGCGUGGGUGAAGAAGGCCUUCGGGUUGUAAAGCCCUUUUGUUGGGAAAGAAAAGCAGCAGGUUAAUACCCCGCUGUUCUGACGGUACCCAAAGAAUAAGCACCGGCUAACUUCGUG